GACGAACGCUGGCGGCGUGCUUAACACAUGCAAGUCGAGGGAGGGAGAGCUUUCGGGCUCUACCCGACCGGCGGACGGGUGAGUAACACGUGAGCGAUCUAUCCCUGUGCGGGGGACAACCCGGGGAAACUCGGGCUAAUACCGCAUGGUCGGUCCUGCUGCAUGGCAGGACCGGGAAAGGUGGCCUCUUCUUGAAAGCUACCGUGCAGGGAGGAGCUCGCGGGCUAUCAGCUAGUGGUGAGGUAAUGGCUCACCAAGGCAACGACGGCUAGGGGGUCUGAGAGGACGACCCCCA
This 295-nucleotide ribosomal RNA is filed under the name uncultured bacterium. RNAcentral's name for it is "partial 16S ribosomal RNA". It matches the Rfam family "Bacterial small subunit ribosomal RNA", at positions 28 to 310 of the family's 1533-position model. The record is from RNAcentral.